AGAGUUUGAUCAUGGCUCAGAACGAACGCUGGCGGCGUGGAUAAGACAUGCAAGUCGAGCGAGAUUUUUCGUUGUAGCAAUACGAUGGAAAGUCUAGCGGCGAACGGGUGCUUAACACGUGGGCAACCUGCCAUGAAGUGGGGGAUAGCUCGCCGAAAGGCGAAUUAAUACCGCAUGUGAUUAGAGAGGACAUCCUUUCGAAAUUAAAGUCGGGGCAACCUGACGCUUCUUGUGGGGCCCGCGGCCUAUCAGCUAGUUGGUGAGGUAACGGCUCACCAAGGCUUUGACGGGUAGCUGGUCUGAGAGGACGACCAGCCACACUGGGACUGAGACACGGCCCAGACACCUACGGGUGGCAGCAGUCGAGAAUUUUUGACAAUGGGGGAAACCCUGAUCGAGCGACGCCGCGUGGAGGAUGAAGGUCUUCGGAUUGUGAACUCCUGUCAUUUGGGAACAAGGUGUGCGCGUUAACUGCGCGCGCAUUGAUAGUACCAGAAGAGGAAGGGACGGCUAACUCUGUGCCAGCAGCCGCGGUAAUACAGAGGUCUCAAGCGUUGUUCGGAUUCAUUGGGCGUAAAGGGUGCGUAGGCGGCGCGGUAAGUCGGAUGUGAAAUCUCGGAGCUUAACUUCGAAACUGCAUUCGAUACUGCCGUGCUUGAGGACUGGAGAGGAGACUGGAAUUUACGGUGUAGCGGUGAAAUGCGUAGAUAUCGUAAGGAAGACCAGUGGCGAAGGCGGGUCUCUGGACAGUUCCUGACGCUGAGGCACGAAGGCCAGGGGAGCAAACGGGAUUAGAUACCCCAGUAGUCC
This 810-nucleotide ribosomal RNA is filed under the name uncultured bacterium. Its description in RNAcentral is "bacterial SSU rRNA". It matches the Rfam family "Bacterial small subunit ribosomal RNA", at positions 8 to 796 of the family's 1533-position model. The record is from RNAcentral.